RNAcentral lists this ribosomal RNA (326 nucleotides) under uncultured eukaryote. RNAcentral's name for it is "partial 18S ribosomal RNA". It matches the Rfam family "Eukaryotic small subunit ribosomal RNA", at positions 1470 to 1796 of the family's 1831-position model. The record is from RNAcentral.
CCCCUAGACGUUCUGGGCUGCACGCGCGCUACAAUAAUACGCACAGCGAGUAUCACCGAGCUCGAAAGGGCAAGGUAAACAAUAGAAAAGGUACUGUAAUGGUUAUAGAUCCUUGUAAUUAUUGAUCUUCAACGAGGAAUUCCUAGUAAGUAUGUGUCAUCAUCACGCACUGAUUACGUCCCUGCCCUUUGUACACACCGCCCGUCGCUCCUACCGAUUGAGUGGUCCGGUGAGGCUUUGGGAUCUGAGCAAAAAGAGCGUUUCGCUCGUUUGGCUCGGAAAACUCAGUCGAACCUUAUCAUUUAGAGGAAGGAGAAGUCGUAACA